GACGAACGCUGGCGGCGUGCCUAAUGCAUGCAAGUCGCACGGGUCUCCUUCGGGAGGUCAGUGGCGAACGGCUGAGGAACACGUGGGGACCUAUCCGUCAGUGGGGGACAACACCGCGAAAGCGGUGCUAAUCCCGCAUACGCUCUGCGGAGGAAAGCGUGGCAACACGCGCUGAAGACUGGCCCUGCGGCCCAUCAGGUAGUUGGCGGGGUAACGGCCCACCAAGCCCGUGACGGGUGGCUGGUCUGUGAGGACGACCCCCCAGGCUGGGACUGAGAUACGGCCCAGACUCCUACGGGAGGGGGCAGAAAGGAAUUUUCGGCAAUGGGCGCAAGCCUGACAGCGCAACGCGGCGUGCGGGAUGACUGCCUUCGGGUUGUAAACCGCUUUUGGGGGGGAAGAAACAGACGGUACCCCCCGAAUCAGCCCCGGCUAACUCUGUG
Molecule: ribosomal RNA, 443 nt
Filed under: uncultured bacterium
Lineage: Bacteria
Description: partial 16S ribosomal RNA
Rfam family: Bacterial small subunit ribosomal RNA
Source: RNAcentral